GUGGACUUCUCUCAGCAGGAACUUGUCACAGGUUCACCUACUGUAUAGGGUAUUGGUGAUUAAAGCCUAUUCAUUGAACAUUAUGUACUAGCAAUGUUGUACUAGUUUGAUGAUUGUUAGUCAUCCAUGAGUCAUUUAACAAUAUCAUAAUGUAUGCAGAACGGCAAGGAACCCCACUUAUAGAUGGGAAACGCGUGUGUGUGCGUGUGUGUGUGUGUGCGUGUGUGCGUGUGUGCGUGUGUGCGUGUGUGCGUGUGUGUGUGUGUGUGCGUCUGAGCAGAGGGGAGAGAAAGGAGACCAAGGCAGGGUGGGGAUUGCUGGAAUGCCUGGUUUACCUGGGACCCCAGGUAGACCUGGCAUUGAUGGGAAGAGAGGUCUGGCUGGAAAAGAUGGAGAGGAAGGACAAAGAGGAGAUGAUGGCAAAAAGGUAUGAUUUGGAGCAAGUCUGGCUAUUCCCCACACCAACACAAUAAACCAUUUUUGUGAUUUUGCUUCUCUAACCGUAGGGUGAUACAGGUGAAUCUGGAACUGAUGUAAGUUAUUUUAUUUUAAUAAGGCAGUAUUAAUUAUC
Long non-coding RNA from Salmo trutta (river trout), 571 nucleotides. The record is from Ensembl. Lineage: Eukaryota; Metazoa; Chordata; Actinopteri; Salmoniformes; Salmonidae.